CGGAAUUGCUAGUAAUCGCGGAUCAGCAUGCCGCGGUGAAUACGUUCUCGGGCCUUGUACACACCGCCCGUCACACCAUGAGAGUCGGGAACACCCGAAGUCCGUAGCCUAACCGCAAGGGGGCGCGGCCGAAGGUGGGCUCGAUAAUUGGGGUGAAGUCGUAACAAGGUACC
Molecule: ribosomal RNA, 173 nt
Filed under: uncultured bacterium
Lineage: Bacteria
Description: partial 16S ribosomal RNA
Rfam family: Bacterial small subunit ribosomal RNA
Source: RNAcentral